Long non-coding RNA from Pseudopipra pipra, 1060 nucleotides. RefSeq lists it as uncharacterized. The record is from RefSeq and is a predicted model, not a curated record. Lineage: Eukaryota; Metazoa; Chordata; Aves; Passeriformes; Pipridae. The transcript has 7 exons.
GGGAGCACGUGUGCAGCUCUUUUUCAGUCCAUUUUCAGAGUAGUCGGGAAAUCCCACAGGAAAAACAACACUUUCUCGCGUGAGCAAAGCAAACCCCAGGUACGCCUCGACCGUGCCAGCUGACGGUGGUGACUCGUGGGGAGGGACCCCAGCAGUGCCCGGAGAGGGUCAGGCUCGUAAAGCGGAGCGGGGUCCUGGGAACUUUGGAGUCAUUUCUCCUGCGGUGUCUCGCUGCCCUCUCGUGGCCGAAUGAUGCAUGUGCACAGCACCGCGCUCCAGUUAUUUGCACACAGACCCAGAGGAGCUCCUUGGCCUGAAGAGCUGCCCGACGGAGCGCAUGGAGCCUGGCACCAGCUGGGCUGGAAUGGCUCCCCGAGAGUCCAGCUGCACUCUGGACAAGAGAAAGGGAGAGCUGGGGCAGGCCGGAGCACGUUCUGAGGGUGGUGGAAUUGCCUCUCUGUCCGUGUGCUGAGCUGCGGCUGCAGGGACUGUCAGGCCUUGUUGGCUCUGUUGCCUGGUGUCAUUUCCCUGCCUGAGCUGGCUGUGGGUCGGUGUGGGACGGCGAGGCCGGAGAGAGCGAGCGGAGGAGCCUCGGGCUGGAGAGGGGCAGGAGAAAGGCCCUGUGGGCAAAGGGACCUCCCCGUGUGCCCAGGGCCCUGCGGGGGACAGGAUGGACACUCUGGGGUCACCCUGAGGGGAUUUGGGGUUUGUUUAGGUUUUGAAUCCCUCCCAGUGGCCCGGGCCAGAGGGGCUGUGGUUGCCAGCUGCUCCCCGUGUCCGUGCUGAACCAGCAUCCCAGGGGCACAACAGGCGCCGGCGACACUUCCAAAGGAAGAUUUGUCUCUCUGUGGGAAGCCGGGAUUUCCAGGAGCCAGAGACGUUCCUGUCCAGCGUGGUUCACCUCCCGCCCUCCCCGAGCACGGCGCGGGCCACUGCAAGGAAGGAUUCCUUGUUGCCCGUCCCCAGCCGGUCCCAGCCCAGCUGGCCGUGCUCCCUGGGCCUGUUCGUGCAGAGGAGGGAGAGCUGCGCAGAUUUAUUAAGAGUGCAUUUCCUGGCAGUA